UCUAUUUGGAAAGAAAAAAAUUUCACCCAGGGGUUUGGAUUUUUUCCCCCCCUGCAAGGGAAACGGAGGCGGGGUUUAGCCCGUUCUGGGACAGGUUAUUUUUACCUUAUUAAGACAAAAACGUUGUUGCGACAGCAUUCUUGGGUAGUAGGGGAGGACCCGCAGGUACGGACCAAUGGCACAAUAUUUGUUCGAGGGAACAGUGGUAUGACGCUACGUUCGUUGGAUUAUGCCUGAACGCCUCUAAGGUCGUAUCCGUGCUGGACUGCAAUGAUAAAUAAGGGGCAAUUUGCAUUGUAUGGCUUCUAAACCAUUAAAAGUUUUUAAUUUGUUUUAUUAACGACAAUGGAUGUGAUGCCAAUGUUAUUUAUAACAUAGUAAAUUGGGAGGAUCUUCGAUCACCUGAUGCCGCGCUAGUUAUAUUUUAAAACAUUAUUUAAUACAAUGUCAAAGCCUAGAAUCAAUUGUAAACGACUUUUGUAACAGGCAAGGUGUUGUAAGUGGUUGAGCAGCUGCCAUACUGCGAUCCACUGAAGCUUAUCCUUUGCUUGAUGAUUCGA
RNAcentral lists this non-coding RNA (560 nucleotides) under Drosophila virilis. RNAcentral describes it as "Eukaryotic large subunit ribosomal RNA". It matches the Rfam family "Eukaryotic large subunit ribosomal RNA", at positions 2895 to 3401 of the family's 3401-position model. Lineage: Eukaryota; Metazoa; Arthropoda; Insecta; Diptera; Drosophilidae. The record is from Rfam by way of RNAcentral.